This 30-nucleotide small RNA is filed under the name Bombyx mori (domestic silkworm). RNAcentral's name for it is "ovarian small RNA-27170". The record is from RNAcentral. Lineage: Eukaryota; Metazoa; Arthropoda; Insecta; Lepidoptera; Bombycidae.
UCCCAGGGAGGCGUCCCUGUCUAUAGGCUC